This is a long non-coding RNA of Cyprinus carpio carpio, 1512 nucleotides long. The record is from Ensembl. NCBI's taxonomy places the organism in Eukaryota, Metazoa, Chordata, Actinopteri, Cypriniformes, Cyprinidae.
CUCCAACACAGUGAAGUUGGCCCGAAGAGGCAUCUGAGACUUCUGCUUCAGUGAUGGCUCAAUUCUCACGAACUGCGUCAGGCUAAUUACUUUUCUCCUUGGGCUGGAAGACGGGUGCGGCAUGAUAAGCGGCAGACGGGUGACAGGAGGUGUGCGCGAGCGGCUGGAGACAGGCUUAUCUGUGGGCGGAGGAGACGCCUCAUGCUUCCUCACGCAAGAGAGACGUGGCCGAUCACCUGUGCCGCCUUUCCUGAUCACUCUAGCCGCCAGUGCCAUCUCGUGUAUGUGCACGUAUGAAGACUCCUCUGUCACGCCUUUUUGGUCAGAGAAGGAAAUGUGGGGUGCCUGAAAAGCAUUUGGGAGGAAAGAGAGAAUACAGACGCGGCAGCGGAGCAGAACGGCUGCAGUCUGAGCUGCGGUAAACUGAUGAGCAUCUAUUUCUGUUUGUGUACAGCACAUUUAUGGGCAUAUUAGAGGCUCCGGUCAGCGAGACGCUCAUAAAAGAGAGAAAACCAAUAUGCUGCUUCAGAGGCGUUUGUGCAGCACUGGACUCUUCCUGCAGCCGUCUGUGAGUGAGGCGAGCGGUGGCUCCGGCCUGUCUGCCUCUCUUUGUGUGUGUGUGUGUGUGUGUGUGUGUGUGUCUCACUGCAGAGAGCCAGAUUAUUUUUAACACACUGCAUCCAAGAACAAACGUGGAAUGCAAGUGUGAACACAAUGAGCACACGCUCGUGAUCAUCUUCUGCGGAGGUCACACGGGGUCAGAGUUCAUGUCUUUUAUACACACACACACACACACACACACACACACACACAAAUGAUCAUUUCAUUUGAAAUGGUUACUGUUGAACUUUAUGGAAAAUUGUCAUUUCUAACCUCAGGUCCAAUCUGGCCUCAAUCUGAAGUAUGUGCUUACUAACCCUGAACUAAACCAAAGCAUUGUUUCAGCCCGUUCAGAAUUUAUUAAUAAUACUUAAUUCACUUGUAUGUACAGGUUCGGACAUGAUUAUGAGGCCAAAUGUCCUCAAUAAUACUGUAAAAUUAUACAGUACACGUGUGUGUAUGAGAAAGAGAGAGAGAUGAAGUACAGUAGAUGCUGCUAAUUACAGCAAACUGCAUCAGCAUCACUCGCAAUUAUUUAGACCUGUUUUAUUUAUAUAUAUAUUAUAUAAUAUACUGUAUAUAUUAUUUAAUUUAUGUUUUAGUUUCAGUUUUAGUUCAUUUUAUAAUAUUCUGAAACAUCAUCAUUGCUCAGUUUAAGGGUGGGCGUGUUUGGUCAGUUUAAAUGAAUCUCUGCGAUGACACAGCUGAAAUUAGAUUACCGAGUCCUGGUUUCCAGCAGCACCUCAUCUACCACAAACACACAAAGCCUGAAAACAGACACCUGAGAGACAGAAAGAGAGUUAUUACUAGAUGAACUGCACUCCUGCUGUCUGAAUCAAUGAGCAACCUCAAACCUCACUAGUCCAGACUUCACAUCUACAGUUCUCUGACAUCCACAAAAGCAACAAUUAC